AGAGUUUGAUCCUGGCUCAGGACGAACGCUGGCGGUGCGCCUAAUGCAUGCAAGUCGAACGGUCCCAUCCCGACUUGUCGGGAGAAGGAUAGUGGCGAACGGCUGAGUAACACGUAAGUGACCUACCCCGAGGCGGGGGACACACCCGAGAAAUCGGGAUCAAUACCCCGUAAGCUCCCUUGGCUGCGGCCUUGGGAGGAAAGGUGCCCAUUUCGGUGGACAUCGCCUUGGGAGGGACUUGCGGCCUAUCAGGUAGUCGGUGGGGUAACGGCCUACCGAGCCGAAGACGGGUAACCGGUGUGAGAGCACGAACGGUCAGAGGGGGACUGCGACACGGCCCCCACUCCUACGGGAGGCAGCAGCAGGGAAUCUUGCGCAAUGGGCGAAAGCCUGACGCAGCGACACCGCGUGGGGGAAGACGGCCCUAGGGUUGUAAACCCCUUUUCUCGGGGACGAGAACGGACGGUACCCGAGGAAUAAGCCUCGGCUAACUACGUGCCAGCAGCCGCGGUAAUACGUAGGAGGCGAGCGUUGUCCGGAUUUACUGGGCGUAAAGGGCGAGUAGGCGGCCCGGCAAGUCUCAUGUGAAAUCUUCCGGCUCAACUGGAAGCGGUCAUGGGAAACUGCCAGGCUUGAGGGCAGCAGAGGA
RNAcentral lists this ribosomal RNA (649 nucleotides) under uncultured bacterium. RNAcentral describes it as "bacterial SSU rRNA". It matches the Rfam family "Bacterial small subunit ribosomal RNA", at positions 8 to 658 of the family's 1533-position model. The record is from RNAcentral.